This 383-nucleotide RNase P RNA is filed under the name Pontibacillus yanchengensis. Its description in RNAcentral is "RNase P RNA component class B". It matches the Rfam family "Bacterial RNase P class B". Rfam says of the family: Ribonuclease P (RNase P) is a ubiquitous endoribonuclease, found in archaea, bacteria and eukarya as well as chloroplasts and mitochondria. Lineage: Bacteria; Bacillati; Bacillota; Bacilli; Caryophanales; Bacillaceae. The record is from RNAcentral.
AUACUUGGGUAAUCGCUGUAUGACAUGCUCAUGCAGAGGAAAGUCCAUGCUCACACAAGCUGAGAUGCUUGUAGUGUUCGUGCUUGACGAAAUCAUAAGUCAAGGUAGUGUAACAGCUAACGGCAGAGAAAUGAUCUACGUCCAAAUGGAUAGGACCAGAUUAUCUUGAAAGUGCCACAGUGACGAAGUUUCGUUGGAAACAACGAAAGUGGAACGAGGUAAACCCCACGAGUGAGCAACCCAAAAUUAGGUAGGGGCACUUUUCUGAGGGAACGAAACCAACAGGAAAAGACAGGUUUUUAACCUGUAGAUAGAUGAUUACCACCGGAGUACGAGGUUGACCGCCGUUUGCAGUACAAAGGUACAGAACAUGGCUUACAAAG